CGGCGUGCCUAAAACAUGCAAGUCGAGCGGUUAAGGCUUUGCACUUUAGUGUUUUGAUCGAGAUAAUUUAUUAUCACAGUUUAACCAAUCGGAACCUUGGCGGGGGAAGUGCGGAAGAGGAAGAUCGAAUUAUAAGUGUAGAGUACACGAGCGGCGGACGGGUGAGUAACACGUGGGAAUCUACCCCAAACUGAGGGAUAAGCACCGGAAACGGUGUCUAAUACCGCAUAUGGUCUUCGGAUUAAAGCUUCGGCGGUUUUGGGAAGAGCCCGCGCAAGGUUAGCUAGUUGGUGAGGUAAAGGCUCACCAAGGCGACGAUCUUUAGCUGGUUUGAGAGGAUGAUCAGCCACACUGGAACUGAGACACGGUCCAGACUCCUACGGGAGGCAGCAGUUAGGAAUUUUCCACAAUGGGCGCAAGCCUGAUGGAGCAACGCCGCGUGCAGGAUGAAGGUUUUCGGAUUGUAAACUGCUUUUAUAAGUGAAGAAUAUGACGGUAACUUAUGAAUAAGGAUCGGCUAACUCCGUG
Molecule: ribosomal RNA, 528 nt
Filed under: uncultured bacterium
Lineage: Bacteria
Description: bacterial SSU rRNA
Rfam family: Bacterial small subunit ribosomal RNA
Source: RNAcentral